This 491-nucleotide long non-coding RNA is filed under the name Fukomys damarensis (Damara mole-rat). RNAcentral's name for it is "lncRNA (ENSFDAG00000025230.1)". Lineage: Eukaryota; Metazoa; Chordata; Mammalia; Rodentia; Bathyergidae. The record is from RNAcentral.
CAAGCCCAGUGUGUGGCGGACAAGGCCCUGGACAAAGGGCUGUGUUCAUCGCCCCUCUUCCCAGCCUCAGGUCUGCAUGGCUCUCUCCCCAGCACGUGAUCUGUGACAAUGGGGGCAGGCACUUUGGGACCAUGACAAGAGGCAGGCGGGGCACAGUGUUUGCCAUCCUUCCAAGGAACGUGAGGCAGGAGGAACUGGAGUGGAGGGAGACCCAUCUGUAUGUGCAAUGUCCUGGUAUUUCAUCACAGUGAUGGAAAAUGGACUAACACAGAACCGCAGCACCCGCAGGGCCUGGGUGGCCCCCGGAGGGACCAGGCCUGGGUUUUGAGGAAGAAGAGGCUUCAGAGAGAGAGAGCCCUAUGCACCCAAGAUCUCCAUUAAGUGACAUCCCUGGCCAGGAUGUCCUUGGGGACAGGAUUAGUGUCUUUAGGGCAGGGGAGCUGCAGGGACCUGGAGUCUGCUCAAAGGAGUCUGCAGCCCAAGAUGGGCCU